Molecule: ribosomal RNA, 253 nt
Filed under: uncultured bacterium
Lineage: Bacteria
Description: partial 16S ribosomal RNA
Rfam family: Bacterial small subunit ribosomal RNA
Source: RNAcentral
GACGAACCGUGCGAACGUUGUUCGGAAUCACUGGGCUUAAAGGGCGCGUAGGCGGGCCUUCAAGUCCGGGGUGAAAUCCUCCCGCUUAACGGGAGAAGAGCCUCGGAGACUGAGGGCCUCGAGGGAGGUAGGGGCGUGCGGAACUAUGGGUGGAGCGGUGAAAUGCAUUGAUAUCCAUAGGAACUCCGGUGGCGAAGGCGGCACGCUGGACCUUUUCUGACGCUGAGGCGCGAAAGCCAGGGGAGCAAACGGG